UGUGGGGGAAGCUACACCCUAAGAAAGUCAGAGCAGCAAGAUGGAAGUAGCCUAAGACCCUGAAAAAUGCACAAAGAAGAAUCACCCGACUGGCUUGGACUUUCAUGUGAAAGGAAUGAACCUCUGUCUUAGUAAAGCCACUGUCUUUACUAAGUUCAGGGUCCUUGUCACGUUCACUGAGGCUGUAACAUAAUUGUUAGAAAGAACAGGAGUGGGAGGGGAGAUGGAGUCGGAGAGUCAGGCAGAGGUUAGAUCACCUACAGGCCAAGGUGGAGGAAGAAACAGGCGACACAGGACUCAAGGACAACACCUGCUCCCAGGCAAAAGGAGUUUGCUAAGACAUUGCAUUAAAUAGCAAGAUGGCAGAUGAACAUCAGGAAAGAACAUUAGGAACAUCCACAGUGUUCCAUCCAGGAACCUUCACCAUGGAAACCCUUGUGCUCAUGGGCCUGGUCUCAAGACACAUUCAGCUGUUGGGGAUCAGAGGCCGCACUCAUCGUAGCAGAGAGGCAGGACCAACUGGGAGAGGGUCAUUCUGUGACACCUACUGCAUCACCGGGCUGUGUGAAGUGACUCAGCUGCCAGAACUCACACAAUAUCAUUCUACACCAAAACCUCACGGGAAAAAUGACUAAAGUUUCAAUAUGGCACCUUAAUUCCUUAACGAAGAGAAAGAAUGUAUAUCUUGUGGUAAUGGGGACCAGCAGCUCCAUGAAUCAAAGCUUUCUGUGGCUCGAUCUAGUUCAGAGUCUGAGUGAUACAUUUAAUGUGCCAGCGAAAGCCUCUGGUAAACAGGGAGCAGUGUUACAGCCAGCAGAGCCCAAGAGCUUGCCAGAGCUGAUGGAGAUUGAAGGGAGCAGGUUGGAGCUCCUCCUGAGGCAGAAUGAGAGGAAGGCUCUCCCCAUCUCCUGAGUGUCAGGCUGGACUCAAAGGGGAGAGAAAAUAUUUUAAAUAAAACUGUCGUUGCAAUAAAAUGUGACAAUUCUCUUCCCUCUCCUUUUUUUCUUUUCUUUUCUUUUUCCUUUUUUUUUUUUUUUUUUUUUGGAC
This 1047-nucleotide long non-coding RNA is filed under the name Pan troglodytes (chimpanzee). RNAcentral's name for it is "lncRNA (ENSPTRG00000053627.1)". The record is from RNAcentral. Lineage: Eukaryota; Metazoa; Chordata; Mammalia; Primates; Hominidae.